This is a long non-coding RNA of Mus pahari (shrew mouse), 553 nucleotides long. RefSeq lists it as uncharacterized. The transcript is spliced from 4 exons. The record is from RefSeq and is a predicted model, not a curated record. Lineage: Eukaryota; Metazoa; Chordata; Mammalia; Rodentia; Muridae.
CACUCUGUUUUCAGCUCAGGGAUACACGCAGUGAACUUUAGGCCUCCAGCGCUAUGGACUGAGCUCAGUCCAUGGGGUUUACACAGCAAGCGUUUUACCAGCGGAUCCAUGUGGCUUGUGCCAAGUCUCCAUCAAUACUGCUGAGUCGCUGUAAUACUCAGACCAGUUUGGAGCCUCAUUUCUUUUACUUCAUUAUCCUGGCAAAUGCCUGUCAUGUGAGAGCCUGAAGCACCUGUGUGGCAAACCUCAGAGAUUGCCUUUCCUGUCCUCUGUCUUCUGACCUGUGAGAUAAGUCAGCAACACCAGUGACAACUGUCUGACCUUGGACCUUUAGAACAGGUCUCAUUGUGUGCCAUGGAUGGCCUGAGAUUCACUUUGUAGACAACAUUGGCCUUGAACUUGUGGCAAUCCUCCUGCCUCUGCCCACUAAGUCUUGGUGUUACAGGUAUGUGCCACUAUGCUAGUACACCUGGUUUUCCUUAAAUACUCCUCCAGUUGCAUUCCACGCAUUGUGUUGUGAUAUCUUCAUUAUACACCAAUUUUUGUUUCUUUG